AGUUAUAUGCUUGUCUCAAAGAUUAAGCCAUGCAUGUCUAAGUACAAGCGAAAAUAAAGUGAAACCGCAAAAGGCUCAUUAUAUCAGUUAUGGUUUCUUAGAUCGUAUCCACAAUUACUUGGAUAACUGUGGUAAUUCUAGAGCUAAUACAUGCAAUUAAAGAGAAACCAGUAAAAUGGGAUCUCUGCUUUUAUUAGAUUUAAACCAAUGGGGAUUGCUUCGCGGCUAUCUCAAUAAAAAUGGUUGAACUCUGGAUAAUUUGUUGAUCGCAUGGUCUCGUACCGGCGACGGAUCUUUCAAAUGUCUGCCCUAUCAACUAUUGAAGGUAGUGUCUUGGACUACCUUGGUUGCUACGGGUAACGGGGGAUCAGGGUUCGAUUCCGGAGAGGGAGCCUGAGAAACAGCUACCACAUCUAAGGAAGGCAGCAGGCGCGUAAAUUACCCACUCCCGGCACGGGGAGGUAGUGACGAAAAAUAACAAUACAAGACUCACAUCCGAGGCCUUGUAAUUGGAAUGAGUACACUUUAAAUCCUUUAACAAGGAUCAAUUAGAGGGCAAGUCUGGUGCCAGCAGCCGCGGUAAUUCCAGCUCUAAUAGCGUAUAUUAAAGUUGUUGCGGUUAAAACGUUCGUAGUUGAACUUGUGUUCAGUACGGGCACUACCUAGCCCUAGGUAACUAGGACGGUAGUUGUCUUAUCUUUUCAUUUUCUUCAUCGGAUUAUGAAAAAAGUGCGUGAACGUAUUAUCGGCGUGUUCUAUUUUCAUAAUAAUUAAAAAAUAUGAAAAUGUUCACAUAAGCCCAUUUCAGUGCUCUUUACCGAGUGUUGCUGUGGGCCGAUACAAAUUACUUUGAACAAAUUAGAGUGCUUAAAGCAGGCUUGUAAUGCCUGAAUAUUUUGUGCAUGGAAUAAUGAAAUAGGACAUCUGUUCUACUUUCAUUGGUUUUUUAGACCAAGAUGUAAUGAUUAAUGGAAGCAGUUGGGGGCAUUAGUAUUACAACGCGAGAGGUGAAAUUCUUAGACCGUUGUAAGACUGACUAAAGCGAAAGCAUUUGCCAAAGAUGUUUUCAUUUAAUCAAGAACGAAAGUUAGAGGUUCGAAGGCGAUC
Molecule: ribosomal RNA, 1107 nt
Filed under: Orfelia nemoralis
Lineage: Eukaryota; Metazoa; Arthropoda; Insecta; Diptera; Keroplatidae
Description: bacterial SSU rRNA
Rfam family: Eukaryotic small subunit ribosomal RNA
Source: RNAcentral